UACGUGGGGUGCGAGCGUUAAUCGGAAUUACUGGGCGUAAAGCGUGCGCAGGCGGUGAUGUAAGACAGGUGUGAAAUCCCCGGGCUUAACCUGGGAACUGCAUUUGUGACUGCAUCGCUGGAGUGCGGCAGAGGGGGAUGGAAUUCCGCGUGUAGCAGUGAAAUGCGUAGAUAUGCGGAGGAACACCGAUGGCGAAGGCAAUCCCCUGGGCCUGCACUGACGCUCAUGCACGAAAGCGUGGGGAGCAAACAGG
This 253-nucleotide ribosomal RNA is filed under the name uncultured bacterium. Its description in RNAcentral is "partial 16S ribosomal RNA". It matches the Rfam family "Bacterial small subunit ribosomal RNA", at positions 524 to 776 of the family's 1533-position model. The record is from RNAcentral.